GAUCCUGGCUCAGAUUGAACGCUGGCGGCAGGCCUAACACAUGCAAGUCGAACGGUAACAGAAAGCAGCUUGCUGCUUUGCUGACGAGUGGCGGACGGGUGAGUAAUGUCUGGGAAACUGCCCGAUGGAGGGGGAUAACUACUGGAAACGGUAGCUAAUACCGCAUAACGUCGCAAGACCAAAGAGGGGGGACCUUCGGGUCCGUCUUGCCAUCGGAUGUGCCCAGAUGGGAGUUAGCUAGUAGGUGGGG
RNAcentral lists this ribosomal RNA (250 nucleotides) under uncultured bacterium. RNAcentral describes it as "partial 16S ribosomal RNA". It matches the Rfam family "Bacterial small subunit ribosomal RNA", at positions 15 to 257 of the family's 1533-position model. The record is from RNAcentral.